AUUGAACGCUAGCGGGAUGCCUUACACAUGCAAGUCGAACGGAGUGGCGAACGGGUGAGUAAUGUAUCGGAACGUGCCCAGUCGCGGGGGAUAACUACGCGAAAGCGUAGCUAAUACCGCAUACCUUUUGAGCUGCCGUUAUCGGAUUUGCGAUUGGGUGGGGUAACGGCUCACCAAGGCGACGAUCCGUAGCUGGUUUGUGAGGACGACCAGCCACACUGGGACGGAGACACGGCCCAGACUCCUACGGGAGGCAGCAGUGGGGAAUUUUGGACAAUGGGGGAAACCCUGAUCCAGCCAUCCCGCGUGUGCGAUGAAGGCCUUCGGGUUGUAAAGCACUUUUGGCAGGAAAGCGGUACCUGCAGAAUAAGCACCGGCUAACUACGUGCCAGCAGCCGCGGUAAUUC
This 407-nucleotide ribosomal RNA is filed under the name uncultured bacterium. RNAcentral's name for it is "partial 16S ribosomal RNA". It matches the Rfam family "Bacterial small subunit ribosomal RNA", at positions 30 to 526 of the family's 1533-position model. The record is from RNAcentral.